UGCCAGCCGCCGCGGUAAUACGGAGGGGGCGAGCGUUAUUCGAAAUUAUUGGGCGUAAAGGGUAAGUAGGCGAUUUAUUAAGUUAUUUGUUAAAAACCUUAGCUUAACUAAGGUAGGGCAUUUAAGACUAAUAGAAUAGAAUGAAAUAAAAGAUAGUGGAAUUUCUAAUGUAGGAUUAAGUCCCGUAGAUAUUAGAAGGAACAUCAGUAGCGAAGGCGACUAUCUAGGUUUUUAUUGACGCUGAAUUACGAAGGCGUAGGUAGCGAACAGGAUUAGAUA
Molecule: ribosomal RNA, 279 nt
Filed under: uncultured bacterium
Lineage: Bacteria
Description: partial 16S ribosomal RNA
Rfam family: Bacterial small subunit ribosomal RNA
Source: RNAcentral